RNAcentral lists this ribosomal RNA (790 nucleotides) under uncultured archaeon. Its description in RNAcentral is "bacterial SSU rRNA". It matches the Rfam family "Archaeal small subunit ribosomal RNA", at positions 85 to 879 of the family's 1478-position model. The record is from RNAcentral.
ACUGCUCAGUAACACGUGGGUAACCUACUCUCAGGUCGGGAAUAACUCCGGGAAACUGGAACUAAUACCCGCUAGAUACGGAUUUCUGGAAUGUGUUUGUAUCGAAAGCUCCGGCGCCUGAGAAUGGGCCCGCGGCUGAUUAGGUUGUUGGUGAGGUAAUGGCUCACCAAGCCUGCGAUCGGUACGGGCAGUGAGAGCUGGAGCCCGGAGAUGGGGACUGAGACAAGGCCCCAGGCCCUACGGGGCGCAGCAGGUGCGAAAACUCGUCAAUGCUCGAAAGAGUGAACGGGGAACCCCAAGUGCCCUUGUAAUGCAAGGGCUUUUCUCUGGUGUAAGGAGCCAGAGGAAUAAGGGCUGGGUAAGACUGGUGCCAGCCGCCGCGGUAAUACCAGCAGCCCGAGUGGUCGCUGUUUUUAUUGGGCCUAAAGCGUCCGUAGCCGGACAGGUAAGUCUCUAGGUAAAUCUUACGUUCAAGCGUAAGGCUUCUGGAGAUACUGCCUGUCUUGAGGCCGGGAGAGGUUGGAGGUACUCCCGGGGUAGGGGUAAAAUCCUGUAAUCCUGGGGGGACCACCGGUGGCGAAGGCGUCCAACUGGAACGGCCCUGACGGUGAGGGACGAAACCCAGGGGAGCGAGCCGGAUUAGAUACCCGGGUAGUCCCAGCCGUAAACGAUGCAGGCUAGGUGUUGGAUUAGCUACGAGCCAAUCCAGUGCCGCAAGGAAGCCAUUAAGCCUGCCGCCUGGGGAGUACGGUCGCAAGACUGAAACUUAAAGGAAUUGGCGGGGGAGCAC